Molecule: ribosomal RNA, 497 nt
Filed under: uncultured bacterium
Lineage: Bacteria
Description: partial 16S ribosomal RNA
Rfam family: Bacterial small subunit ribosomal RNA
Source: RNAcentral
GAUGAACGCUGGCGGCGUGCCUAAUACAUGCAAGUCGAGCGAACAGAUAAGGAGCUUGCUCCUUUGACGUUAGCGGCGGACGGGUGAGUAACACGUGGGUAACCUACCUAUAAGACUGGGAUAACUUCGGGAAACCGGAGCUAAUACCGGAUAAUAUUUCGAACCGCAUGGUUCGAUAGUGAAAGAUGGUUUUGCUAUCACUUAUAGAUGGACCCGCGCCGUAUUAGCUAGUUGGUAAGGUAACGGCUUACCAAGGCGACGUUACGUAGCCGACCUGAGAGGGGGAUCGGCCACACUGGAACGGAGACACGGUCCAGACUCCUACGGGAGGCAGCAGUAGGGAAUCUUCCGCAAUGGGCGAAAGCCUGACGGAGCAACGCCGCGUGAGUGAUGAAGGUCUUCGGAUCGUAAAACUCUGUUAUUAGGGAAGAACAUACGUGUAAGUAACUGUGCACGUCUUGACGGUACCUAAUCAGAAAGCCACGGCUAACUACGUG